Molecule: long non-coding RNA, 1276 nt
Filed under: Salmo salar (Atlantic salmon)
Lineage: Eukaryota; Metazoa; Chordata; Actinopteri; Salmoniformes; Salmonidae
Description: lncRNA (ENSSSAG00000118603.1)
Source: RNAcentral
UUAUGAUUCAACUUUUCACUAAGGAACAUAACAGUGCAUGGUGUACCUCGGCAGACACUGGCGGACAGGCUGAGCGGUCGGGUGACUCAUGGUUGUCACAAAAAAGGAGCACAGUUCUGGUGCAGAACUGUGUCUACAGCGCCAGCCAUGGGUUCCCCUUCACCAGACAGAGGCUGAUGAAAUAUGCUGACAAAAUACGCAGGUUUAGGCACCCAGGGGAAACAAUCCCACCACUGGGGAAGAGGUGGUGGGAAAUGUUUAGGAGGAGGCACAAGAACCUGAGCAUGAGGAGGCCGGACACCCUGGACAGGGGGAGAGCUGAGUAUGCCACACGUCCAACGAUGGACACCUUCUUCACUUAUGAGAAUCACUUGGAGGAGAGUGGGUUGAGGGAGAAACCCAGACAAAUCUAUAACUGCGAUGAGUCUGGAUUUUGUAGUGACCAGAGCAGGCACAAGUACUGGUUCCCCAGGGAGCAAAACACGUGUACCUGCAGGCUCCGGGGACCAAGGAGCACAUCACAGUGCUGGCCUGCUUGGAUGUCCCCACGUUUAUCAUCUACCCCAAGUGUUUCCCCAGUGGCCACUACACACUGGGAGGCCCCCCUCUCCCGAAGCCUUGUAUGGACGGUCAAACAGUGGCUACAUUGAUGGGGACCUGUUCAGGAAGUGGUUUUCAGCACUUCAUUAAGCAUGCAGUGAAGGAGCGCCCUCUCCUUCUCCUCUUUGAUGGGCACAAGAGCCACAUGGAACCGGAGGUGCUCGCGGCGAAGGGGUUAUACUAUAUUGUCUUCCACCACACUGCACCCAUGUCCUGCAGCCGCUGGAUGUGGCAUACUUUGGCCCUUAAAAGGCUGAGUUCUCCAAGGUAGCUAGAGGCCUUAGCCAUUUUGACAACUCCUACAUGGUAAACAAAUCAGAAUUUUCCAGAGUAUUCCGCUACCCGUACCAGUGCUUCAAGGACAUGUGCUAUGUGGUGGAAGGGUUUAAGAAGUAUGACCUGUUCCUUUUUGACCCUUCAGCCAUUGAAGGGUCCCGUUUAAUGCCGUAUCGGUCCCUACCGGGUCCCACCACCACCUCUCCUGGAACCAGCAGUACUGUGCCGUCCAUCAGCACCUCCUCCCCAGUGACCACAUGAGGACCCUCAGCCCAUGUUCCAGUCCCAGUCCCUGCUCCAGUCUCAGCUCUAGUCCUAGCUCUAGAAGAGCACCCUCUAAUAGAGGGGGGGCUGAUAGCGAAGGACCUGGGGCACAUCCUUACUGUCCUGAAGUAUCGGC